AACGAACGCUGGCGGCAGGCCUAACACAUGCAAGUCGAGCGCCCUCUCGGGAGGGCGGUGGUCGGGUGAGUAACGCGUGGGGAUCUGCCCUUGUCUACGGCAUAACCUCGGGAAACUGAGAGUAAUACCGUAUACGCCUUGCGGUGGUAACAUAUAACGGGUAAGGAUUAGCCCGCGUGGGAUUAGGUCGUUGGUGGGGUGAUGGCGUCUAAAGCCGACGAUCCAUAGCUGGUUUGAGAGGAAGAUCAGACACACUGGGACUGAGACACGGCCGAGACUCCUACGCGAUGCAGCAGUGGCUAAUCUUAGAAAACGGCGUCAACGCUGAACGAGCCAGGGCGGUUGAGUGAUGAUGUCCGGAGAGAUAUAAAGCACGUUCAGCUGGGAAGAUAAUGACGGUACCAACAGAAGAAGCCCCGGCUAACUUCGUG
RNAcentral lists this ribosomal RNA (431 nucleotides) under uncultured bacterium. Its description in RNAcentral is "partial 16S ribosomal RNA". It matches the Rfam family "Bacterial small subunit ribosomal RNA", at positions 29 to 507 of the family's 1533-position model. The record is from RNAcentral.